GAGUAAUGUCUGGGAAACUGCCUGAUGGAGGGGGAUAACUACUGGAAACGGUAGCUAAUACCGCAUAACGUCGCAAGACCAAAGAGGGGGACCUUCGGGCCUCUUGCCAUCGGAUGUGCCCAGAUGGGAUUAGCUAGUAGGUGGGGUAACGGCUCACCUAGGCGACGAUCCCUAGCUGGUCUGAGAGGAUGACCAGCCACACUGGAACUGAGACACGGUCCAGACUCCUACGGGAGGCAGCAGUGGGGAAUAUUGCACAAUGGGCGCAAGCCUGAUGCAGCCAUGCCGCGUGUAUGAAGAAGGCCUUCGGGUUGUAAAGUACUUUCAGCGGGGAGGAAGGGAGUAAAGUUAAUACCUUUGCUCAUUGACGUUACCCGCAGAAGAAGCACCGGCUAACUCCGUGCCAGCAGCCGCGGUAAUACGGAGGGUGCAAGCGUUAAUCGGAAUUACUGGGCGUAAAGCGCACGCAGGCGGUUUGUUAAGUCAGAUGUGAAAUCCCCGGGCUCAACCUGGGAACUGCAUCUGAUACUGGCAAGCUUGAGUCUCGUAGAGGGGGGUAGAAUUCCAGGUGUAGCGGUGAAAUGCGUAGAGAUCUGGAGGAA
Molecule: ribosomal RNA, 602 nt
Filed under: Escherichia coli
Lineage: Bacteria; Pseudomonadati; Pseudomonadota; Gammaproteobacteria; Enterobacterales; Enterobacteriaceae
Description: bacterial SSU rRNA
Rfam family: Bacterial small subunit ribosomal RNA
Source: RNAcentral